RNAcentral lists this ribosomal RNA (253 nucleotides) under uncultured bacterium. RNAcentral describes it as "partial 16S ribosomal RNA". It matches the Rfam family "Bacterial small subunit ribosomal RNA", at positions 524 to 776 of the family's 1533-position model. The record is from RNAcentral.
UACGGAGGGUGCAAGCGUUAUCCGGAUUCACUGGGUUUAAAGGGUGCGUAGGUGGAUUAGUAAGUCAGUGGUGAAAUCUCCGAGCUUAACUCGGAAACUGCCAUUGAUACUAUUAGUCUUGAAUUAUCUGGAGGUGAGCGGAAUAUGUCAUGUAGCGGUGAAAUGCUUAGAUAUGACAUAGAACGCUAAUUGCGAAGGCAGCUCACUACGGAUAUAUUGACACUGAGGCACGAAAGCGUGGGGAUCAAACAGG